RNAcentral lists this ribosomal RNA (250 nucleotides) under uncultured bacterium. RNAcentral describes it as "partial 16S ribosomal RNA". It matches the Rfam family "Bacterial small subunit ribosomal RNA", at positions 524 to 773 of the family's 1533-position model. The record is from RNAcentral.
UACGGGGGGGGCAAGCGUUGUUCGGAAUUACUGGGCGUAAAGGGCUCGUAGGUGGCCAACUAAGUCAGACGUGAAAUCCCUCGGCUUAACCGGGGAACUGCGUCUGAUACUGGAUGGCUUGAGUUUGGGAGAGGGAUGCGGAAUUCCAGGUGUAGCGGUGAAAUGCGUAGAUAUCUGGAGGAACACCGGUGGCGAAGGCGGCAUCCUGGACCAACACUGACACUGAGGAGCGAAAGCCAGGGGAGCAAAG